UACGUAGGGUGCAAGCGUUGUCCGGAAUUAUUGGGCGUAAAGAGCUUGUAGGCGGUUUGUCGCGUCUGCUGUGAAAUUUCGGGGCUCAACCCCGAACUUGCAGUGGGUACGGGCAGACUAGAGUGUGGUAGGGGAGACUGGAAUUCCUGGUGUAGCGGUGAAAUGCGCAGAUAUCAGGAGGAACACCGAUGGCGAAGGCGGCAUACUGGACCACCUCUGACGCUGAGGCGCGAAAGCCAGGGGAGCAAACGGG
RNAcentral lists this ribosomal RNA (253 nucleotides) under uncultured bacterium. RNAcentral's name for it is "partial 16S ribosomal RNA". It matches the Rfam family "Bacterial small subunit ribosomal RNA", at positions 524 to 776 of the family's 1533-position model. The record is from RNAcentral.